Camelus dromedarius (Arabian camel) is the source of this 431-nucleotide long non-coding RNA. RefSeq lists it as uncharacterized. The transcript is spliced from 4 exons. The record is from RefSeq and is a predicted model, not a curated record. Lineage: Eukaryota; Metazoa; Chordata; Mammalia; Artiodactyla; Camelidae.
CUUUGAUAGAUACGGAGGAGACAAGCUUAAGACUCGAGGCUUCCACGUCUGUGUGCUGCAGCGGUCCCAGAAUGAACAAAACUUUGGAUUCUGAUGGGAUGACUGUGGACAUUCCUCCAAACCAAAACCAAAGAACCUCAUUAGGAAAGACAGAAACACCUGAUACCUUGGACCAUCUACAAGACUUUCUGCAGGAAUUCCUGAAGAGGAAUCUAAAAGCUCUUGGGUGUGUCAUAUCUGGAUCCCUGGCUAUUGUGUCUGCCAAGAAGCAAACAAAAUCACUGCUAACAGGGAAUCUGGGUGCUAACAUUCUUAGCACUGUGGUCUCAAUUGUUGGGAUCUGUAUUCUGCCAUACAGUUUAAUAAAAAUUUUCCACCAUGAUUGCAAGGAAGAAACCAUGUGCUUUGGCAUUAAAUCAAUUGCAACUGUA